CAUUCUGAGUUCUCACAAAUAGGGGGAGGAUGCCACUGGCACCUAGUAGGUCAGGGAUGCUGCUAAGCAUCCUGCAGUGCCCAGGACAGCCCCACAAAGACUCAUCCAGCCUGAAUGUCAAUAGCGCUGAGGUUGAGGAGCCUUACUUUACGGGAACUAGGCAGGAGGAUUCUGUAUGCCCAAGGACGUUGGUCAUUAUCACGUGUCCACUUCAGUACAGCACUAUUCAGAGGCAAUGCUUUUUGGGUAAUGGAUUUUUCUCUUAACAGGUUCUUCAUUUUGAAAAUGUCAAAGAUGUACCCUUUGGAUUUCAAACAGUAACAUCGGAUGUAAACAAACUUAGUUCCUUUUACUCACUGAAACUAAUCAAGCGGCUCUACGUAGACAAAUCUCUGAAUCUUUCUACAGAGUUCAUCAGCUCUACGAAGAGACCCUAUGCAAAGGAAUUGGAAACUGUUGACUUCAAAGAUAAAUUGGAAGAAACGAAAGGUCAGAUCAACAACUCAAUUAAGGAUCUCACAGAU
Molecule: small RNA, 524 nt
Filed under: Pan troglodytes (chimpanzee)
Lineage: Eukaryota; Metazoa; Chordata; Mammalia; Primates; Hominidae
Description: retained intron
Source: RNAcentral